Molecule: transfer RNA, 86 nt
Filed under: Marmota monax (woodchuck)
Lineage: Eukaryota; Metazoa; Chordata; Mammalia; Rodentia; Sciuridae
Description: tRNA.Leu
Source: RNAcentral
GGUUGUAGCUCAGCGGUAGAGCGCUGGCCUCAAAAAUGCUCCCUCACCUGGUACAUGUGAGGCCCUGGGUUCGAUCCUCAGCACCA